Molecule: ribosomal RNA, 301 nt
Filed under: uncultured bacterium
Lineage: Bacteria
Description: partial 16S ribosomal RNA
Rfam family: Bacterial small subunit ribosomal RNA
Source: RNAcentral
CAGUCGCCGCGGGAAUACGUAGGGUGCAAGCGUUAAUCGGAAUUACUGGGCGUAAAGCGUGCGCAGGCGGUUAUAUAAGACAGAUGUGAAAUCCCCGGGCUCAACCUGCGAACUGCAUUUGUGACUGUAUAGCUAGAGUACGGCAGAGGGGGAUGGAAUUCCGCGUGUAGCAGUGAAAUGCGUAGAUAUGCGGAGGAACACCGAUGGCGAAGGCAAUCCCCUGGGCCUGUACUGACGCUCAUGCACGAAAGCGUGGGGAGCAAACAGGAUUAGAGACCCCCGUAGUCCCUGUCUCUUAUAC